RNAcentral lists this long non-coding RNA (737 nucleotides) under Pan paniscus (pygmy chimpanzee). Its description in RNAcentral is "lncRNA (ENSPPAG00000044502.1)". Lineage: Eukaryota; Metazoa; Chordata; Mammalia; Primates; Hominidae. The record is from RNAcentral.
GUGAAAUGUCAAGCUGCUAGAUAACAAGAUUUGUCUACGUCAAACACAGAUGAAAGUCCCAGCAACAUUGACUUGGCAUGUCAUCUUUUAAACCAAAAGAGACAUGGUUUAAGUCAAAAGAUUGAGGAAGCUAUUUCAACAGCAAAAAGAUACUGCCUUCCUUGAAUGAGAUUACCUGAAGGCUGGAUUUGAAGAGCCUAGGAGAGUUGGGCAAACUGGACAGAAGUUUGAAUUGAGAGACCAAGGCUUGAGUUUUGCAAAUAACAUGGAUUUUUCCGUUGUCUCUGCUGUACAUGAGGUAGAGUCAAAUAGAAUAAACUGAGCUGACGCUGACCUUUAUUUUUUUUUAAAGACCCACAGGGAAUUUCUCCAAUAUGACCUGGCCCCAUGGCUCCCUUCCUGAAGACAGACCUGGCUGUGGAUUUUAUAAUGAGCUCUGUGAAACUCAGUCUGCUUUUACGGCUGCCAUCAUAGGUCUGAUUUUAAGGAUGCAGAGGCAAAACAAAGACGUCUGGUGGCAAAUCAAUUUUGAUGAUAUCACCAUUCUUCCCCAGAACAAGGUGAGGCCAUAUGUGACCCAGAUGUCCCCUUUCCUGGUCACUGCUGGAGAUGUGUGGAAGGGACCUCAUCUAGGAGCUUAUAAGAGCAAGAGGCUAAUUUAUUCAGUGAGCACUUCAUGAAGAGUCUGCAGGCCUGAGUUCUGGUUCUAGGCCUCCCACUUGCUUGCUGAAUCUGAG